Molecule: ribosomal RNA, 468 nt
Filed under: uncultured bacterium
Lineage: Bacteria
Description: partial 16S ribosomal RNA
Rfam family: Bacterial small subunit ribosomal RNA
Source: RNAcentral
GACGAACGCUGGCGGCGUGCUUAACACAUGCAAGUCGAACGGAAAGGCCCUGCUUUUGUGGGGUGCUCGAGUGGCGAACGGGUGAGUAACACGUGAGUAACCUGCCCUUGACUUUGGGAUAACUUCAGGAAACUGGGGCUAAUACCGGAUAGGAGCUCCUGCUGCAUGGUGGGGGUUGGAAAGUUUCGGCGGUUGGGGAUGGACUCGCGGCUUAGCAGCUUGUUGGUGGGGUAGUGGCUUACCAAGGCUUUGACGGGUAGCCGGCCUGAGAGGGUGACCGGCCACAUUGGGACUGAGAUACGGCCCAGACUCCUACGGGAGGCAGCAGUGGGGAAUAUUGCACAAUGGGCGGAAGCCUGAGGCAGCAACGCCGCGUGCGGGAUGACGGCCUUCGGGUUGUAAACCGCUUUCGCCUGUGACGAAGCGUGAGUGACGGUAAUGGGUAAAGAAGCACCGGCUAACUACGUG